GGAGAGGAAAAAAAAAAAAAAACCUAAAAAAAACUGGAUGUGCAGUACCCUCUAGUGGCAGAGACCUGUUCUCACACUCGGCUUGAUCAAGUGCACGUGCUCUGUUCUGUGACUCUAACGGGGGAAGUGGAUCUAAGAAAAUCAUGGAAAGUAAGAACAUCAGCAGGUAUUCUGUUUUGAUUUACUUUCUUCCAGACAUAAAGAGGUUCUGCUUCCUAGAACACUGUAUGGCUUAUUCCUCCAGACAUCCAGUCACUGCAGGUAACGAUAACAGCAGCGACCUCUGGCAGAAAAACAAGCAUCCAUAAAAAAGAGGAAAAACUUCACUGAGAAUAAUUGCCCACUUGGAACAACUUACCACUGGAUAAUAAGUCUCUAACAGCAGGUUUGGCAUUGUUUUUGGAACAUAAGGAACAGCUGGCACCUCAAUAUAAAAUAAGCCGUAUCAGCAUCUGUUGUCCAAACCAAACACACUGCUGCAUUUUUUUUCUAAAGAAGGAAAAUAUAAAAAGAGGUAUUCAAC
Molecule: long non-coding RNA, 523 nt
Filed under: Phasianus colchicus (ring-necked pheasant)
Lineage: Eukaryota; Metazoa; Chordata; Aves; Galliformes; Phasianidae
Description: lncRNA (ENSPCLG00000003105.1)
Source: RNAcentral